This is an RNA transcript of Zophobas morio, 3617 nucleotides long. RefSeq lists it as uncharacterized. The transcript has 6 exons. NCBI's taxonomy places the organism in Eukaryota, Metazoa, Arthropoda, Insecta, Coleoptera, Tenebrionidae. The record is from RefSeq and is a predicted model, not a curated record.
AAUAAUAUACCAAAUUGUUUCAAAUGUGUUAACUUCUUGUUAAAAAAUACAAUUUUUGUGAAUAUUUGAAACUUUAAGUACCUUUGUGAAUAACCAGAUAUGUUUUUGGCGUAACAUAAAAUUGUCAGAACAUUUAUGACCGUAAAUGUAUCGAUUUCGAGCGUUUAUUCUAAGCGUAAGUAAGAAAGUAUUGUAAUAUGGUUCAUCCGACGAAUCGCUUCUUUUAAUUUGGUUUGUUUGCCAAGAUAAAUUUGUAUCAUAUUCAGAUAUGUUUAUUACCAUUAUAACUAUUCACAUUUUUUUCGUAUUACUAUUUUCUACAUUUACUUCCUGUUUUUUUAUUCCAUCAACUCCCCCAGCUCUCUUAAAAUACGACAAUAUAUGGUUAUUCCAUCUAGAAAAGUUUGAAUCCCUAUAUGUUCAUCAUGGCCGUGUAAUCGCACAGGCGUGUUGAUAAUGGGCGAAAAACUGACGACUGGUAUUUCCGCGUUUCGUAAAUGUCGACUGUCUGUACGACCUGGGAACAUUUGAACCUCUCUAAAAUAAACAAUUGUUUUAGUGACCGUUUAGGUACAAAUACGUACACUUCUUCAACCGCUUUUUCAAAAGUAACCCAAUAUGGAUCGUUGAUCCGUGUUGGGUUAAUCGGUAGUUCCUGGAGUGUAUAGUCAAUCAAUACACUAUUACUAACGUCGUGGCACCAUUGAUCCAUUGUUGGUUCUAAUUCAUCUACAUCCAUUCUUUCAAAGGGAAUGCGACAAUCAAAAUAUAGCACAAAUUCUGAUGGGACCAUAUUCCUUCGACCACCACCCUAUAAUACAGAUUAUACAGAAAAACAGUAUUUACACAAUAUCGUUUCCUACUUCAAUUUUUGUUAGAUUAAUGCUGAUGACAUUUGCAAGCGUCCAGUCAGGGUUGGCUGUCAGUUUUUCCAUUUCCAUUGUUCUGAAAGCGAAAAAUUUCUGCAAAACACGACUCAUUCUUUCUCCCGGAGUGUCGUCCAACAAGAGCUCUGCGUCUCCAGAGGUGCCUUGACAGCAUACUCGUAUAUCUAAAAACAAAUAUCACUUUCGGUUUUUUUACCCGUUAAACCUUACUCCAGGCAUAUUUUUCCCCAUUAAACGCGACAAACUUAUCUCCAAGAGUCGCCAUUCCUGAAUCUAGCGCAAAUCCAAUGUUAAGUUUUCCAAAAUCUUCCCAGUCUGUAAAUGCACCCAUGCCUUUCAAACCACCUAUCUCUGCAUCUACAAGAAACCUUUAUUCAACAUGUCAGAAAAAAUCGUGUUUUACCUGGCAUAUAACUCAAAUAGAUCGUUCGUUUUAAAACCGUUUUGGAUCUUUUCAAGCGUCUCACAGCUUCAAGAUAUUGAAUGCCGAUACAUUUCGAAUCUUGGGCGCCCCUAGCGUAAAUAUUUUGAUCUUCAAUUUCGACAGCAAAGGGGUUGUGAGACCAUUCGCUUAUAACAACGGGUGAAACGUCUAUGUGGCUGUUGAGGAGUAUUGCUGGAAGAGCCGGUUCGGUUCCCAUCCAAGUCAUCAAAACAAUGGGUUUGCCUUCCACUAAAUUGAGUACUUGCAUAGGUAGCUGCAAACUUUCGGCCAUCGUUCCAAGAAAUUCCACGCAGGUGUCUAUGAAUCUAGUGUAGUUACGAAAUUUUGGUUUAUUGGUACUCACCGUAGUUAACAUUCGGUUGUACGGAAGGAAUUUGCAAAUAUGAGUUAAAAUUCAGAAGCGCUAUUUCGUCUUCAGUUUGCAACCCCAGAGUUUCGAGAACUUCAAUCAUUUUGGCUGUUUAAUGAGGUUUUGGUUGUAGGUAUGAAAAAAGUUAGACGUCGGAAGGUUUUGUGAUGCUUCUUUCUUAUUAUCAGAUAAUAGAAGUAAAUAAAGUUAAUUGUUCCCCAUUGAGGUAGAAUUUGGCUGUAGAUUUCAAUUCCCUUAGAAAUAAUAUCUCCCUAUUCAAGUAUUCAUCGACGUUAUGUAAAACAGCUUGGUGUCAUGAGUGAGAAACACCUAGGAUGUGGCGUCUUCGCAUAUUUCCGUUUUCCAUUUCAGUCGUUUGAAAAUUUGGUUACUGUUUGUUUUUUUGUAUUGCUCCUUACAGUUUACCAGUUGUUUACUUAAAAGCAACCCAACAGAUGUUGGAAUUGUUCAGUGUAGGUACCUGUUGAUAGUACCGGAGACUGUUUAUGCCCAAAUUUCAUCUAAACUCCUUUACCAGCAUUUUAACACAAUACUGUGAAAUGUUUAAUUCAAUGAAAUAAAACACUUAACAUUAUUUUUAAAAAUUUAUUGUGUUUCCGUGAAUCUGAAGCUUAUACAUAUUUGGCGCUGUCUUCGACCUCAUAGGGCUAAGGGGAUUGGACUGUUGCGCAGGUAGAUUUUUAAAGGUAGAAUAUAGACUGUAAUUUCAAAAAAGGAGGAUUGUUAAACAAAUAUGAAUCGGAUUCGAUGCCGUAGUUCAUAGCGAGCGAAAUUAGUACAAUAUUAGUUUCUCACAUAUGUAAAACUGUGACUAUUCCAUAAACACGUAUAAGUGAUUGUGAAUCAGGCUGUCUAGUCGACUGCUUCCUUUGCAGGGAUGGAAGUAAGUCUCACGAGUGCGAGUGUUUAAAACCCAUGGCACGUUUAAAACCACUGGCAAAUAAACCUCCAUGAAGAGACGCCCUUCGCGCCGCUGUUGCUACGUAUCUUCACGCUGCAUGGUACUGUCUCUCUCUCUCUGUGGCUGGCUUAAUCGGCAAUUGCACUUUUGAGGGACAAAACAUCGAAGCACGGUGUAUAGCCUCAAAAACUAGUGCAGCACCUCACGAAAUUCAAAUUCAGUUUGCAGAUUAUUCAGAUUACAGACAGUGGAACUGUGUCUGCAGCUGCAAAGCAGGAGCAGGAGGGAAAUGUAAGCACAUAGUUGCCACCCUACUUGCUCAGAAUAUAGGCCUGCUUAGUUGCACCGAUGUUCCCCAGGCAUGGGGCAAACGGAAGCGGGAAGAACUAGUAGAAGUUGUUCCUGUGGAACAAUUUUGCCAUGUUAAGUCAUCGAAGCAUUCCAAAUGUGGUAUGGCAGGAAUUAUUCCAGAAGAUUUCGUACAAAAGUGCUUUGAAGUUCUCCCGAAUUUUGGAGCUCCCAUGCUGUUCAAUCCUGAAGAUAGGUCUAGGUUGUAUCAAAUAAUUGUUAUAAAUGGCAUCAUCAAGCCUUAGCAAUUGUUAAUGAUAUAAACACAUCUUUAUUUAAAAGUUUUUGCUGCUGCUGUUUUUUUUUUUCUUUUGCAGGGAUGAUCUCUUCAGUGCAAUUUGCGACAAUGCUUAUCGGAGCGAAUUGAGUGAGGUUCAAGAUGUUACACCUUAUUUACAUACAGUCAGGAUGACUGGCAUACCAAAGCCGUGAAAUAUUUUUAUCCCAAAUCAUUUAAGGGAACCUAUGCCACAAGAUAUGGCAACAACCAAAAAGAUUUUGCCCGGCAAGCAUAUAUGACCAAUCUCCCAAGUGCCGAAACUGUAAUCCAGUGUGGGUUGAUUGUGUGCCAAAAGAAUCCAUGGUUGGCCUGUUCUCCUGAUGGCAUUGUGUUUCGGGAUAAACGACCAAUUCGUUUAUUGGAAAUUAAGUGUCCUAUUUUAGGUG